GAGUUUNGAUCCUGGCUCAGGACGAACGCUGGCGGCGUGCUUAACACAUGCAAGUCGAACGAUGAAGCCUUUCGGGGUGGAUUAGUGGCGAACGGGUGAGUAACACGUGGGCAAUCUGCCCUUCACUCUGGGACAAGCCCUGGAAACGGGGUCUAAUACCGGAUAACACUCUGUCCCGCAUGGGACGGGGUUAAAAGCUCCGGCGGUGAAGGAUGAGCCCGCGGCCUAUCAGCUUGUUGGUGGGGUAAUGGCCGACGGGUAGCCGGCCUGAGAGGGCGACCGGCCACACUGGGACUGAGACACGGCCCAGACUCCUACGGGAGGCAGCAGUGGGGAAUAUUGCACAAUGGGCGAAAGCCUGAUGCAGCGACGCCGCGUGAGGGAUGACGGCCUUCGGGUUGUAAACCUCUUUCAGCAGGGAAGAAGCGAAAGUGACGGUACCUGCAGAAGAAGCGCCGGCUAACUACGUGCCAGCAGCCGCGGUAAUACGUAGGGCGCAAGCGUUGUCCGGAAUUAUUGGGCGUAAAGAGCUCGUAGGCGGCUUGUCACGUCGGAUGUGAAAGCCCGGGGCUUAACCCCGGGUCUGCAUUCGAUACGGGCUAGCUAGAGUGUGGUAGGGGAGAUCGGAAUUCCUGGUGUAGCGGUGAAAUGCGCAGAUAUCAGGAGGAACACCGGUGGCGAAGGCGGAUNUCUGGGCCAUUA
This 702-nucleotide ribosomal RNA is filed under the name Streptomyces cyaneofuscatus. RNAcentral describes it as "bacterial SSU rRNA". It matches the Rfam family "Bacterial small subunit ribosomal RNA", at positions 9 to 739 of the family's 1533-position model. Lineage: Bacteria; Bacillati; Actinomycetota; Actinomycetes; Kitasatosporales; Streptomycetaceae. The record is from RNAcentral.